Molecule: transfer RNA, 77 nt
Filed under: Candidatus Woykebacteria bacterium RBG_13_40_15
Lineage: Bacteria; Candidatus Woykeibacteriota
Also listed under: 1 other name
Description: tRNA-Arg
Rfam family: tRNA
About the family: Transfer RNA (tRNA) molecules are approximately 80 nucleotides in length.
Source: RNAcentral
GCCGAUGUAGCUCAAUUGGACAGAGCAGACCCGUCCUAAGGGUAAGGUUGAGAGUUCGAGUCUCUCCAUCGGCGCCA